GGUCAAAUAUGGCGACAAUGAUCAACUUGCUCUUCUUCUACUAAAUUAAAGAUUCGUGUGGAGAUUCUGUCGAUAUAAUCAUAUAUUUAUAUCUGCUCUUUCUUAAAAUGGAGACGGUGCCAGGGCAAUGUUUCAUAGAGUGGAAUGAUUGACCUCAACACAAGUAUUAAAAAAAAAAGAAGCAAAACAGGUCUACAUCUCAAAACCUGAUCUCUUCCUGGACUGGCUUUAGGAGAACGAUGAUGCAUAUCAAUUUCAUCCCUGAUCUCUAUGACACCUGUGGUGGAAGUGGAGGGCAAAUCGUAAUCAGUUUGGGUUCCAGCCCCGAGGACCUCUGUAAACUUUGCUUUUUGGUGAUGACUUAAUUUCCGAGCUUGAAAAGGACGCUUGUGUGUUUAUCAUGGCCUCUCAUAUUGGAAGAUAUCAUUAAUGGCUUGUGUGUUGAUCGACGGUUGUGCAUAUCUCUUGGUCAGGAAAGUUGUAGGCACCAUCGCCAUUGUAAAUCAUUUGACAGGCCCGAGUGAACGGGGCGACCUAUGAUUGGUCAGCAAUGUAUCAGAUUCCAUACCGGGGGGGUGGGGAUGAAAAAACUGUUGUAGUGUUACAUAAUCAGAUUAUUUCAACUUACUUAUCCUGUGGAAAUACAGCUAUAUAGGAGAUAUUUUGAAAUUCAUAGGCACUGCAUGUUUCAACAUUUUAGAUUUGACCACAAUCUGGCACUUGAAACUAUGUUAACAGAGAAAAACUGUGUGGUUUUCGAUGAAAGUGUUAAAAGUCUAAUAUUGCAUCAUGAUUACUGUUUUAAAGUAUUUUCGUGUUUGAUUUAUAUUGAAUUCAUCUCAUCUUUUUGAAGAAUGCAUUUAUGUUCAAAAAUAAAAAUGUUCUGUGGAAUUCAAAAUUCAUGUGCUUUUAAAUUAUCAGAUUCCAAACUGGGGGGUAGGGAUGAAAAAGCUGUUGUAGUGUUACAUAAUCAGAUUAUUUCAACUUACUUAUCCUAUGGAAAUACAGCUAUAUAGGAGAUAUUUUAAAAUUGAUAGGCACUGCAUGUUUCAACAUUUUAGAUUUGACCACAAUUUGGCACUUGAAACUACGUUAACAGAGAAAAACUGUGUGGUUUUCGAUGAAAGUGUUAAAAAGUCUAAUAUUACAUCAUGAUUACUGUUUUAAAGUAUUUUCGUGUUUGAUUUAUAUUGAAUUGUAUUUAGAAAACGGAGGAAACCGAAUGACCCAGCGAAAAAACUCAAGAGAUUGGACAGGCGACUCUACUCCUUGAAAUUGAAACCAUGCCACUUAACACAAUGACAGACCCUGUGAUUUCAUGCGCAUGCAUUACCUACUAGACCAUUCCCCCCAGCCCCACCCCAUAUCGAAUAAAAGUAUGACUUAUUUCAAAUAUGAUAUUUACAUAUAAAGAAAGUAGAGAGACUUCAAUCUUACUAGAAAAAUACUAGAUUACCUGAAAUGAAAUGGGGUUUAAAGACAACGUCCUACUGGUCAGCUCCGACUGGUCUAAUGCAUUGUGCUAAGUGAAAAUGUUUGUCUGGGCAGCGACACUAUGGCCUACUCUCAUACCGAAUUCAAACUGCCAAGAGAACUUUUAUGUGUACGCCAAUGUGUACAUUGGAUCUCAGGGGAAACCACUCUGCAAAAUCAAGAUGAGCUUUCUCGGUCAACCCCAAGAGAUAACCUGUGGCCUCCAUGCUAGUGUGCCAGCACCUAAUUUACUCAGUCACCAUGGCCGUCUUCUAAUUACUGCGACAGUGAAACCAUGUGACAAACAAGGAUUAUUAAGAUAGACUUUUACGGCUUGGUAGUUCCUUGGGAUUAAAACUUUUGAUACAUAUAGAUACAUUAGUUUCAAUUUCAUAUCACACAGUUUGUAUAUAUGGUAAGGUAGCUUUAAUCGUAAAUUA
This is a long non-coding RNA of Patella vulgata (common limpet), 1913 nucleotides long. RefSeq lists it as uncharacterized. The record is from RefSeq and is a predicted model, not a curated record. The transcript is spliced from 3 exons. NCBI's taxonomy places the organism in Eukaryota, Metazoa, Mollusca, Gastropoda, Patellidae.